This is a non-coding RNA of Camelina sativa (false flax), 1004 nucleotides long. Lineage: Eukaryota; Viridiplantae; Streptophyta; Magnoliopsida; Brassicales; Brassicaceae. The record is from RefSeq and is a predicted model, not a curated record.
UAUAUAAAAGGGAAAAAAAUUACAUUCACUUUUUUUUGUUCCUUCUCUCUCGCGACGGAGAUUGCGAAGUUGAAAAAUAUUUUUGUCAAUGAUCCGUUGGAAUUGGAGAUGAAUGAUUCGAUUCUUGGCCGUUAGCUCAGCCUCUCCACCGAUGGCGGAUCGCAACGGCAACUCUCGGUGAGGGAACCGACUACUUGGUUGGAUGAAAUCGGAGACCACCAAAUCGGAGGCUUUCCUUCACCAAUUCGGAGAUUGAAUCACCAAUAUCUUUCUCAUGGGUUGGAUGUCGAUGCACUUUAGUUACUGGACGUGGGCUCCCAAUCCCAUCAUCCACUCCAUGGCAACAUUUGAAGGUCUGAUUGACAAGUAAUGUUUUGUUGGUCUUGUUUUUGUCUUUCUGAUAUGAAAUCCAGGUUGAAGGGGCAGGAGAUUUCAUAUCGGUACAUCAACUCAGGUAGGCGAGUAUUCUUUCCACUAAACCGAAAGAGAGUGUUGGGGAUUUAACAAAAAGAGCCAAGAAUCAGUAAACGUGGAAAGGUUUUGCCCGCAGCUUGGAAGGAGCUACAAUUCUGUAUAUGUUUUGCAGCUAGGUCACAGAGUUGUAUUGAAGAAUGAAGAAGAAUACUCAAGUCUACUUUAUCUCAGAGAGAUGGAUUGAAGAGUGAAGAAUAAGACUUAAGCAGACUGCUUAAGUUAACGAUUGUGGAAGAGGGUCUUCUUUUGUGGUUUUCUGGUACUAAGAUCUCUCGGUGAUGGUUUGAUUGUGGAGAGUUGAAAAACCAACGACCAUCAAUAUGGAGGGACGGGUAAGUCAUUGGCUUAAGUUAUUGUACGUGAGCUCCCAUCAUCUGCUUCAUAACAAGAUUUGAAGUGUCUGAUUGCCAACUAAUGUUUUGCGGCAACUUCUUGGUUUCUACUCUCAAAUGUUUUAUUUUUUUCAAAACUAAGAACCUCACUUACAAGAGUUUACCAUUGGAGGAGUACAAUUUUAAUUAACAAACAAA